UAGGGGAUUCAGAACAGAAGAAGCUGC
RNAcentral lists this non-coding RNA (27 nucleotides) under Rattus norvegicus (Norway rat). The record is from RNAcentral. Lineage: Eukaryota; Metazoa; Chordata; Mammalia; Rodentia; Muridae.